AGAGUUUGAUCCUGGCUCAGGAUGAACGCUAGCGGCAGGCUUAACACAUGCAAGUCGAGGGGCAGCAUAAUGGAUAGCAAUAUCUAUGGUGGCGACCGGCGCACGGGUGCGUAACGCGUAUGCAACCUACCUUUAACAGGGGGAUAACACUGAGAAAUUGGUACUAAUACCCCAUAAUAUCAUAGAAGGCAUCUUUUAUGGUUGAAAAUUCCGAUGGUUAGAGAUGGGCAUGCGUUGUAUUAGCUAGUUGGUGGGGUAACGGCUCACCAAGGCGACGAUACAGUAGGGGGACUGGAGAGGUUAACCCCCCCACACUGGUACUGAGACACGGACCAGACUCCUACGGGAGCA
This 351-nucleotide ribosomal RNA is filed under the name uncultured bacterium. RNAcentral's name for it is "bacterial SSU rRNA". It matches the Rfam family "Bacterial small subunit ribosomal RNA", at positions 8 to 349 of the family's 1533-position model. The record is from RNAcentral.